UACGGAGGUUGCAAGCGUUACUCGGAAUCACUGGGCGUAAAGGGCGCGUAGGCGGCCUAGCAAGUCUGGUGUGAAAGCCCAGGGCUUAACCCUGGAAGGGCACUGGAAACUGUUAGGCUUGAGUUCCGGAGAGGAGGGGGGAAUUCCCGGUGUAGCGGUGAAAUGCGUAGAUAUCGGGAGGAAUACCGGUGGCGAAGGCGCCCCUCUGGACGGAAACUGACGCUGAGGCGCGAAAGCGUGGGGAGCAAUCCGG
Molecule: ribosomal RNA, 253 nt
Filed under: uncultured bacterium
Lineage: Bacteria
Description: partial 16S ribosomal RNA
Rfam family: Bacterial small subunit ribosomal RNA
Source: RNAcentral